RNAcentral lists this long non-coding RNA (212 nucleotides) under Lathyrus oleraceus (garden pea). RNAcentral describes it as "Pisum sativum (pea) long non-coding RNA (PSAT_LNC036064)". The record is from RNAcentral. Lineage: Eukaryota; Viridiplantae; Streptophyta; Magnoliopsida; Fabales; Fabaceae.
UUGGAUUGCUGUGCUGUGGCGGCGAAUCCAGAGGAGCUUCGGAGGGUGGAGAAUUUCGUGAUGGUGUACCGGCGACGGCGAAGAGGGUUUUGGGGGUUUCGUGAGAUGACUUGAAAUACGGUGAGGGUUUCUGUUUUCUUUCGUUAACAGAGAGAGAAGAGUGAGGAUUUGUGUUGUCGACUUGAAGUCACGGGUUGGAGGUGGAUCGACGN